This 112-nucleotide ribosomal RNA is filed under the name Aeromonas veronii. The record is from RNAcentral. Lineage: Bacteria; Pseudomonadati; Pseudomonadota; Gammaproteobacteria; Aeromonadales; Aeromonadaceae.
CCCAAUUAUAGCGCCGUGGAACCACCUGAUCCCAUGCCGAACUCAGAAGUGAAACGCGGUAGCGCCGAUGGUAGUGUGGCAUUCGCCAUGCGAGAGUAGGACACUGCCAGGC